RNAcentral lists this ribosomal RNA (253 nucleotides) under uncultured bacterium. RNAcentral describes it as "partial 16S ribosomal RNA". It matches the Rfam family "Bacterial small subunit ribosomal RNA", at positions 524 to 776 of the family's 1533-position model. The record is from RNAcentral.
UACGUAGGGGGCAAACGUUGCUCGGAAUUACUGGGCGUAAAGGGUGAGUAGGCGGCUGGGCAAGUCAAGGAUGAAAUCCCGCGGCUUAACUGCGGAACUGUCCUUGAAACUGCCUAGCUUGAGGAUAGUUGAAGAAAAGGGAAUUCCCGGUGGAGCGGUGAAAUGCGUAGAUAUCGGGAGGAACACCUGAGGCGAAGGCGCUUUUCUAAGCUACUCCUGACGCUGAAUCACGAAAGCUAGGGGAGCAAACGGG